RNAcentral lists this ribosomal RNA (460 nucleotides) under uncultured bacterium. RNAcentral's name for it is "partial 16S ribosomal RNA". It matches the Rfam family "Bacterial small subunit ribosomal RNA", at positions 338 to 795 of the family's 1533-position model. The record is from RNAcentral.
CCUACGGGGGACAGCAGUGAGGAAUAUUGGUCAAUGGACGAGAGCCUGAACCAGCCAAGUAGCGUGAGGGAUGACUGCCCUACGGGUCGUAAACCUCUUUUGCACGGGAAUAACACGCUCCACUUGUGGAGUUCUGCAUGUACCAUGCGAAUAAGGACCGGCUAAUUCCGUGCCAGCAGCCGCGGUAAUACGGAGGGGCCGAGCGUUAUCCGGAUUCAUUGGGGUUAAAGGGAGCGUAGGUGGAGUGUCAAGUCAGCUGUGAAAGUGUGCGGCUCAACCGGAGACGUGCAGGUGAAACGGGCAGUCUUGAGUACAGAAGAGGUAGGCGGAAUUCGUGGUGUAGCGGUGAAAUGCAUAGAUAUCACGAGGAACCCCGAUUGCGAAGGCAGCUCACUGGGGUGCGACUGACGCUGAGGCUCGAAGGUGUGGGUAUCAAACAGGAUUAGAUACCCUUGUAGUC